AGAGAGAAAGAGAGAGAGAGAGGUCGAUACAAAAAAUAAAUAAGUGAGAGAAAAAGAGAUACAAUAUUUUAUUAUUAAGAUUCUUUUCUUUUAUUUUUUUAUCUUUCUGUCCGUAUAUAACUUUCAUUUUUCCAGCGAUGUUGAUUGCAGUCACUUUGAGAUUGUCUUGGAUUUAUUUCUUCAUCAGCAUUGCCAGAGCAGAAGGCGGCUGCGGUACUGGAUGGUUCGGCAACUAUUGUCAGUACAAAUGUCACUGCAAGAGCUCGGCCUGUGACACCAACGGUGACUGUGUCAAUGUGACCUGUGAGAGAGGAUGGUUUGGCUACAAAUAGGAUCUAAGUUCUCUAGCAGACACAUCACAUCCAAGUCUGGUAGAUGGGGACGACACAACAUGUAACGAGGACGUGUAUAGCUCAAGUGUCUCCUUAAAUCUGAAUACAUCUUUCAUUUUUACAUGGAUGAGAUUAGUUUUUAAAU
This is a long non-coding RNA of Biomphalaria glabrata, 477 nucleotides long. RefSeq lists it as uncharacterized. The transcript is spliced from 3 exons. Lineage: Eukaryota; Metazoa; Mollusca; Gastropoda; Planorbidae. The record is from RefSeq and is a predicted model, not a curated record.